This is a long non-coding RNA of Budorcas taxicolor (takin), 772 nucleotides long. RefSeq lists it as uncharacterized. The transcript is spliced from 3 exons. Lineage: Eukaryota; Metazoa; Chordata; Mammalia; Artiodactyla; Bovidae. The record is from RefSeq and is a predicted model, not a curated record.
CCGGAGGCGGCAGCGGCGCGGCCCGGGGCGAAGCGGCCGCGGGGCCAAAUUGGGCGCCGGGCGCGAGCCGAGGCUGCCGCGGACCCCGCAAUCCCGCAGCCGGCGACUGGAGCCCACCUCUGCGGAGACAAAGGCAGGAGUGCCAUUCCUUUCGCUCUUCUCAUGGAAGCUGCUCCAGAGAACCCCAGCUGAAGAUGCAUUCGGAUUCAGCAAACAGUGGGAAAGCAGAGGACACAAGUUUGGAUGCGAAAUAGUAACACCUUCUGCAGUGAAGAAUAAUUAAACAAUAUUUUAAUUACACAAAAUCGAGCGUGUUGUUGGACCUUCCCAAACAGUUAACACUUUAUGCUGGUCUAUACAUGUCUAUACAUUCAGAACAUUGUUUAGUUCUGAAACAUUCUGAGAAAUAACCUCAAUUGUCCAUUUUCCUCUACCCAAAUAAAGGCAGAGUUUAUGACCCUCUAUUUCAGCUGGUGGAAGGAGGGCUGGGAAAAGACUGCACUUUUGAAAAGGCAGCCAUAUUUGUACUUUUUCACCCUGUGCAGAGAUAAGCCAUGUGCUGGGCUUUGUGGAACCUCACAAAAUGGCAGCCCCUGAAUUGACUUUUCUCUAGGAACCGUUGAGACCCACACCUUUUUUGGUGUGUUUCUGGUCUACGCGGAGAACCUAAAUCACUUAGGACCCUUGGUUUUUUCAUCCAGUGUUAACAUUGGAGGGUCCUAUUUUUCUGUAAAUGAUUUACAGACCUCUCUAAGCAGACUCUCUAAGCAGU